AGAGUUUGAUCAUGGCUCAGAACGAACGCUGGCGGCGUGCUUAACACAUGCAAGUCGAGUGCGCGCCUGUAGCAAUACAGGUGGCGCACGGCGCACGGGUGCGUAACACGUGGGUAACCUGCCCUUUAGUGGGGAAUAACCUCGCGAAAGCGAGGCUAAUUCCGCAUAAGAUCCGCAAGGAUGAAAGCCGUAAGGCGCUGAUGGAGGGGCUCGCGCACGAUUAGCUAGUUGGUAGGGUAAUGGCCUACCAAGGCUAUGAUCGUUAGCUGGUCUGAGAGGAUGGCCAGCCACACUGGGACUGAGACACGGCCCAGACUCCUACGGGAGGCAGCAGUGGGGAAUAUUGGACAAUGGGGGCAACCCUGAUCCAGCGAUGCCGCGUGAGUGAAGAAGGCCUUCGGGUCGUAAAGCUCUUUAGGUUGGGAAGAAGGGCGCGAGGAGAAUAUCUUUGCGUUUUGACGGUACUGACAGAAUAAGCACCGGCAAACUCUGUGCCAGCAGCCGCGGUAAUACAGAGGGUGCGAGCGUUAAUCGGAGUUACUGGGCGUAAAGGGCGCGUAGGCGGUUAUAUAAGUGUGAUGUGAAAGCCCCGGGCUUAACCUGGGAAGGGCAUCGCGGACUGUAUAACUGGAGUAUAUGAGAGGGUGUCGGAAUUUCCGGUGUAGCGGUGAAAUGCGUAGAGAUCGGAAGGAACGUCGAUGGCGAAGGCAGGCACCUGGCAUAAUACUGACGCUGAGGCGCGAAAGCGUGGGUAGCGAACAGGAUUAGAUACCCUAGUAGUCC
This 783-nucleotide ribosomal RNA is filed under the name uncultured bacterium. RNAcentral describes it as "bacterial SSU rRNA". It matches the Rfam family "Bacterial small subunit ribosomal RNA", at positions 8 to 796 of the family's 1533-position model. The record is from RNAcentral.